RNAcentral lists this long non-coding RNA (600 nucleotides) under Equus asinus (donkey). RNAcentral's name for it is "lncRNA (ENSEASG00005027643.1)". The record is from RNAcentral. Lineage: Eukaryota; Metazoa; Chordata; Mammalia; Perissodactyla; Equidae.
GCCCCUAAAGCUGAUUUUUGAAUAGAUGACGAAGCACAAAUAUACAAAAGGAUACAAAGUGAAAAGGUCACGUGUGAGAGACAGCUCGAUCAGGAGCGAGCAGGUGGCCUCUCUUUCUGCCUCCUGCUAGCUACCGUGAAAACAGUCAGCAGAGCCUGCAAACGCGCUCGCCGGGACUUCCUGUGGCCACACGAGAGCCUGCUUACCAGCACACCCCGGAAUAGAAUCUCCCCGCAGGGUUGUCAUGGGCAUUAAAGCAGAAUGUAGACUCCUUGGCACCAUGCCAGGCACACCAGAACUGCUCCAUAAGUGCAGGCUGCUGCUGCCCUAACAGAAGAAAGCAGAGGUCCGGCCCCCAUGAGCCCUGUUCCUUCCCCAUUUCACUGCUGGGGCCGGGCUGGGGGCAUCUUUUAGCCCUGGGAAGCAUCCAAGCUGUCUGAUGUGAGAGACCCCCCCCAAGCCUUGAAAAAGCCCUGUCUUGUGGAUGCUGAGAUAGAAGAUUUGUAAGGACCCCUGGCUGCCCCGAGGAGGACAGUGGGGCUUUCUCUGGCCCUCCCAGGGGAGCUGGGAACACCUGUCUCUGGGCAGGACCCCACAGGG